AUGCCGACGAGUACCAAGCACAGCUGUGAGGCCGAGCAGUCUAAACCCGGGCCGCCGCUGCCGCUCAGCCAUGAGGACAACCGCCGCUUCCUCCAGAUGCUCCGACAAAAAAAGGAAAGUCUGGGAGUCGCCGGGCCCAAGGUGGAGGUGCGGUUCGAGGAUCUCGCCGUGGAGGCACACGUCCGCAUCGGCCGCCGGGAGCUGCCGACGCUGCUCAACUGCGCCGUCAACGCCGCACAGGAUUUGGUAUCAUUUUUUGACAUGUAUUCUAGAAGGAAAGGAGCAAUCAAAAUCAUAAAUGAAGCAAGUGGCACAAUUCGACCAUCGAGGAUGACACUUCUUCUCGGAGCGCCCGGUUCUGGGAAAACAACAUUUUUGAAGGCAUUGGCAGGAAAGUUGGAUUCAUCUCUAAAGCGGAAAGGAAAGAUCACAUACAACGAAAAAGAAGUGAAUUCCUCAACACCUCAACACAUGCAUGCUUACAUUAGCCAGUAUGAUCUUCACCAUGCCGAGAUGACUGUCAGAGAGACAAUUGAUUUCUCGUCCAAUAUGUUGGGAACCAUUAAUGAAUUUGAGAUGAUGGAACAAUCGGUAAGAAGAAAGCAAGGUGACAUCAAUGAAGUGGAACAAAAUCUUGACUCCUUCAUUAAGGCUACAACAUUUGGAGAAGGAAGUAACCUUACAACAAACUAUAUUAUUAAGAUACUUGGUUUGUCUGAGUGUGCUGAUAUCCUAGUGGGGGAUGAGAUGAGAAGAGGCAUAUCGGGAGGACAAAAGAAAAGAGCAACAAUUGGUUAG
Molecule: ribosomal RNA, 798 nt
Filed under: Triticum aestivum (bread wheat)
Lineage: Eukaryota; Viridiplantae; Streptophyta; Magnoliopsida; Poales; Poaceae
Description: partial small subunit ribosomal RNA
Source: RNAcentral